RNAcentral lists this RNase P RNA (356 nucleotides) under Chondria tumulosa. RNAcentral's name for it is "RnpB". The stretch from base 2 to 176 matches the Rfam family "Bacterial RNase P class A", at positions 44 to 222 of the family's 367-position model. Lineage: Eukaryota; Rhodophyta; Florideophyceae; Ceramiales; Rhodomelaceae. The record is from RNAcentral.
GAGGAAAGUCCGGGCUCCAUUUAUAAAGAAAAUGUUAUAUAAAAUAUAAUGUAGGAAACUAUGAGGAUAGUGCCACAGAAAUAUACCGCUUUAAUUUAAAGUAAGGGUGCAAUGGUUCGGUAAAAGCGUACCAGAAAUGUUGUUAAGAUAUUUGCUAGGUAAACCCCAUUUUUGAGCAAAGUAAUCAUGAAAUAUAUAUAUUUUUUUUAUAAGUUUGAUUUAUUUUCUUUAUUUGUCUUGGUUAUAUGUUAUACUGCUUUAAAGUUAAUUUUUAACUUAAGAUUAAUAAUUAUCCUUUUAUAUUGAUAAUUUGUUUAUGUUUUAUAUUAUUGUAUGAAGAACAAAACCCGGCUUAU